RNAcentral lists this ribosomal RNA (253 nucleotides) under uncultured bacterium. Its description in RNAcentral is "partial 16S ribosomal RNA". It matches the Rfam family "Bacterial small subunit ribosomal RNA", at positions 524 to 776 of the family's 1533-position model. The record is from RNAcentral.
UACGGAGGGGGCAAGCGUUGUUCGGAAUUACUGGGCGUAAAGGGCUCGUAGGCGGCCAACUAAGUCGGAUGUGAAAUCCCCAGGCUCAACCUGGGAACUGCAUCCGAUACUGGAUGGCUUGAAUUCGGGAGAGGGAUGCAGAAUUCCAGGUGUAGCGGUGAAAUGCGUAGAUAUCUGGAGGAAUACCGGUGCCGAAGGCGGCAUCCUGGACCGACAUUGACGCUGAGGAGCGAAAGCCAGGGGAGCAAACGGG